Molecule: transfer RNA, 64 nt
Filed under: Desulfurococcus amylolyticus 1221n
Lineage: Archaea; Thermoproteati; Thermoproteota; Thermoprotei; Desulfurococcales; Desulfurococcaceae
Description: tRNA-Ala
Source: RNAcentral
GGGCCGGUAGCUCAGCCUGGAAGAGCGCCGCCCUUGCAUUCCAGGCUGCACCGAGGUCGAGGAA